This 496-nucleotide ribosomal RNA is filed under the name uncultured bacterium. RNAcentral describes it as "partial 16S ribosomal RNA". It matches the Rfam family "Bacterial small subunit ribosomal RNA", at positions 29 to 507 of the family's 1533-position model. The record is from RNAcentral.
AUGCACGCUGGCGGCGUGCCUAAUCCAUGCAAGUCGAGCGAACGGACGAGAAGCUUGCUUCUCUGAUGUUAGCGGCGGACGGGUGAGUAACACGUGGAUAACCUACCUAUAAGACUGGGAUAACUUCGGGAAACCGGAGCUAAUACCGGAUAAUAUUUUGAACCGCAUGGUUCAAAAGUGAAAGACGGUCUUGCUGUCACUUAUAGAUGGAUCCGCGCUGCAUUAGCUAGUUGGUAAGGUAACGGCUUACCAAGGCAACGAUGCAUAGCCGACCUGAGAGGGUGAUCGGCCACACUGGAACUGAGAUACGGUCCAGACUCCUACGGGAGGCAGCAGUAGGGAAUCUUCCGCAAUGGGCGAAAGCCUGACGGAGCAACGCCGCGUGAGUGAUGAAGGUCUUCGGAUCGUAAAACUCUGUUAUUAGGGAAGAACAUAUGUGUAAGUAACUGUGCACAUCUUGACGGUACCUAAUCAGAAAGCCACGGCUAACUACGUG